GAUCCUGGCUCAGGAUGAACGCUGGCGGCGUGCUUAACACAUGCAAGUCGAGCGAAGCAAUUUAAGUGAAGUUUUCGGAUGGAUCUUAGAUUGACUGAGCGGCGGACGGGUGAGUAACGCGUGGAUAACCUGCCUCACACAGGGGGAUAACAGUUAGAAAUGACUGCUAAUACCGCAUAAGCGCACAGUACCGCAUGGUAUAGUGUGAAAAACUCCGGUGGU
This 222-nucleotide ribosomal RNA is filed under the name uncultured bacterium. RNAcentral describes it as "partial 16S ribosomal RNA". It matches the Rfam family "Bacterial small subunit ribosomal RNA", at positions 15 to 219 of the family's 1533-position model. The record is from RNAcentral.